This 502-nucleotide ribosomal RNA is filed under the name uncultured bacterium. RNAcentral's name for it is "partial 16S ribosomal RNA". It matches the Rfam family "Bacterial small subunit ribosomal RNA", at positions 30 to 523 of the family's 1533-position model. The record is from RNAcentral.
AUUGAACGCUGGCGGUAUGCUUAACACAUGCAAGUCGAACGGCAGCACAGUAUGUAGCAAUACAUAUGGGUGGCGAGUGGCGGACGGGUGAGUAACGCGUAGGAAUCUACCCUAAAGCGGGGGACAACCCGAGGAAACUCGGGCUAAUACCGCAUAAUCUCGAAAGAGUAAAGCUGGGGCAACCUGGCACUUUAGGAGGAGCCUGCGUCCGAUUAGCUAGUUGGUGCGGUAAAGGCUCACCAAGGCGAUGAUCGGAAGCUGGUCUGAGAGGAUGAUCAGCCACACUGGGACUGAGACACAGCCCAGACUCCUACGGGAGGCAGCAGUGGGGAAUAUUGGACAAUGGGGGCAACCCUGAUCCAGCAAUACCGCGUGUGUGAAGAAGGCCUUAGGGUUGUAAAGCACUUUAGUUGGGGAAGAAGGAUAGUUGUUUAAGAGAUGAUUAUUUUGACGGUACCCAAAGAAUAAGCACCGGCUAACUCUGUGUCAGCAGCCGCCGUAA